This 87-nucleotide transfer RNA is filed under the name Roseospira marina. RNAcentral describes it as "tRNA-Leu". It matches the Rfam family "tRNA". From Rfam's summary of the family: Transfer RNA (tRNA) molecules are approximately 80 nucleotides in length. Their secondary structure includes four short double-helical elements and three loops (D, anti-codon, and T loops). Further hydrogen bonds mediate the characteristic L-shaped molecular structure. tRNAs have two regions of fundamental functional importance: the anti-codon, which is responsible for specific mRNA codon recognition, and the 3' end, to which the tRNAs corresponding amino acid is attached (by aminoacyl-tRNA synthetases). tRNAs cope with the degeneracy of the genetic code in two manners: having more than one tRNA (with a specific anti-codon) for a particular amino acid; and 'wobble' base-pairing, i.e. permitting non-standard base-pairing at the 3rd anti-codon position. Lineage: Bacteria; Pseudomonadati; Pseudomonadota; Alphaproteobacteria; Rhodospirillales; Rhodospirillaceae. RNAcentral also lists the same sequence under 7 other names. The record is from RNAcentral.
GCGGUCGUGGCGGAAUUGGUAGACGCGCAGCGUUGAGGUCGCUGUCCCGGAAACGGGGUGGAAGUUCGAGUCUUCUCGACCGCACCA